This 254-nucleotide ribosomal RNA is filed under the name uncultured bacterium. Its description in RNAcentral is "partial 16S ribosomal RNA". It matches the Rfam family "Bacterial small subunit ribosomal RNA", at positions 524 to 776 of the family's 1533-position model. The record is from RNAcentral.
UACGGAGGGGGCUAGCGUUGUUCGGAAUUACUGGGCGUAAAGCGCACGUAGGCGGCCGAAUAAGUCAGAGGUGAAAGCCUGGGGCUCAACCCCCAGAACUGCCUUUGAGACUGUAUGGCUAGAACGUCGGAGAGGUGAGUGGAAUUCCGAGUGUAGAGGUGAAAUUCGUAGAUAUUCGGAAGAACACCAGUGGCGAAGGCGGCUCACUGGACGACUGUUGACGCUGAGGUGCGAAAGCGUGGGGAGCAAACAGG